RNAcentral lists this ribosomal RNA (469 nucleotides) under uncultured bacterium. RNAcentral describes it as "bacterial SSU rRNA". It matches the Rfam family "Bacterial small subunit ribosomal RNA", at positions 29 to 507 of the family's 1533-position model. The record is from RNAcentral.
AAUGAACGUUGGCGGCGUGGAUUAGGCAUGCAAGUCGCGCGAGAAGUUUCCUUCGGGAGACGGACAGCGGCGGAAGGGAGAGGAAUAAGUAGAAAUCUGCCCUCGGGACGGGGAUAGCGGCGGGAAACUGCCGGUAAUACCCGAUAACAUCUUUGGAUCAAAUGGUGUGAUUCCGCCUGAGGAUGAGUCUACUUCCUAUUAGCUAGUUGGUGUGGUAAUGGCUCACCAAGGCAACGAUGGGUAGCGGGUGUGAGAGCACGAUCCGCCUCACUGGGACUGAGACACUGCCCAGACACCUACGGGUGGCUGCAGUCGAGAAUCUUCGGCAAUGGGGGAAACCCUGACCGAGCGACGCCGCGUGCGGGAUGAAGGCCCUUGGGUUGUAAACCGCUGUCGUAAGGGAACAAAUCCAUAGGGGUACUCCCCUAUGGUUGAGUGAUCUUAGGAGGAAGGACGGGCUAAGUUCGUG